This 1233-nucleotide ribosomal RNA is filed under the name Cronobacter sakazakii. RNAcentral's name for it is "partial 23S ribosomal RNA". It matches the Rfam family "Bacterial large subunit ribosomal RNA", at positions 1660 to 2871 of the family's 2925-position model. Lineage: Bacteria; Pseudomonadati; Pseudomonadota; Gammaproteobacteria; Enterobacterales; Enterobacteriaceae. The record is from RNAcentral.
CAGGUGGUCAGGUAGAGAAUACCAAGGCGCUUGAGAGAACUCGGGUGAAGGAACUAGGCAAAAUGGUGCCGUAACUUCGGGAGAAGGCACGCUGACAUGUAGGUGAAGCCCCUGCGGGUGGAGCUGAAGUCAGUCGAAGAUACCAGCUGGCUGCAACUGUUUAUUAAAAACACAGCACUGUGCAAACACGAAAGUGGACGUAUACGGUGUGACGCCUGCCCGGUGCCGGAAGGUUAAUUGAUGGGGUUAUCGCAAGAGAAGCUCCUGAUCGAAGCCCCGGUAAACGGCGGCCGUAACUAUAACGGUCCUAAGGUAGCGAAAUUCCUUGUCGGGUAAGUUCCGACCUGCACGAAUGGCGUAAUGAUGGCCAGGCUGUCUCCACCCGAGACUCAGUGAAAUUGAACUCGCUGUGAAGAUGCAGUGUACCCGCGGCAAGACGGAAAGACCCCGUGAACCUUUACUACAGCUUGACACUGAACAUUGAGCCUUGAUGUGUAGGAUAGGUGGGAGGCUUUGAAGCGUGGACGCCAGUCUGCGUGGAGCCGACCUUGAAAUACCACCCUUUAAUGUUUGAUGUUCUAACCUGGCGCCGUGAUCCGGCGUGGGGACAGUGUCUGGUGGGUAGUUUGACUGGGGCGGUCUCCUCCCAAAGUGUAACGGAGGAGCACGAAGGUCAGCUAAUCCUGGUCGGACAUCAGGAGGUUAGUGCAAUGGCAUAAGCUGGCUUGACUGCGAGAGUGACGGCUCGAGCAGGUGCGAAAGCAGGUCAUAGUGAUCCGGUGGUUCUGUAUGGAAGGGCCAUCGCUCAACGGAUAAAAGGUACUCCGGGGAUAACAGGCUGAUACCGCCCAAGAGUUCAUAUCGACGGCGGUGUUUGGCACCUCGAUGUCGGCUCAUCACAUCCUGGGGCUGAAGUAGGUCCCAAGGGUAUGGCUGUUCGCCAUUUAAAGUGGUACGCGAGCUGGGUUUAGAACGUCGUGAGACAGUUCGGUCCCUAUCUGCCGUGGGCGCUGGAGAAUUGAGGGGGGCUGCUCCCAGUACGAGAGGACCGGAGUGGACGCAUCACUGGUGUUCGGGUUGUCAUGCCAAUGGCACUGCCCGGUAGCUAAAUGCGGAAGAGAUAAGUGCUGAAAGCAUCUAAGCACGAAACUUGCCCCGAGAUGAGUUCUCCCUGAGACUAUAAGUCUCCUGAAGGAACGUUGAAGACGACGACGUUGAUAGGCCGGGUGUGUA